Molecule: ribosomal RNA, 283 nt
Filed under: Megamonas funiformis YIT 11815
Lineage: Bacteria; Bacillati; Bacillota; Negativicutes; Selenomonadales; Selenomonadaceae
Description: partial 16S ribosomal RNA
Rfam family: Bacterial small subunit ribosomal RNA
Source: RNAcentral
UACGUAGGCGGCAAGCGUUGUCCGGAAUUAUUGGGCGUAAAGGGAGCGCAGGCGGGAAACUAAGCGGAUCUUAAAAGUGCGGGGCUCAACCCCGUGAUGGGGUCCGAACUGGUUUUCUUGAGUGCAGGAGAGGAAAGCGGAAUUCCCAGUGUAGCGGUGAAAUGCGUAGAUAUUGGGAAGAACACCAGUGGCGAAGGCGGCUUUCUGGACUGUAACUGACGCUGAGGCUCGAAAGCUAGGGUAGCGAACGGGAUGAGAGACCCCGGUAGGCCGCUGACUGACU